GCUCUUUCCUGCGCUCUCACUGUGGAGAUCUUGCCGUAAAGAAACGUCCGUUCUCUCCGGGCUUUACCCCCAGAGAAAUGGCACUUGGAUCUGGUGGCAUGAAGGCUGAGAGGCACAGAGCGACUUCUCUUCACCCAGUAUUCACACCUCAGGACCGAUGUCAGCGAAUAUAGAUUAAUCACGUGCUGACAGAGGUCGUUGAUCAACUGCCCGUGUCGGCGCAGAGCUUGACUGUUCACAUCUGUCCGCGAGGAGCUCACAAAAUGGAGCCACGCACAUGUCUGGCUGCUUCGUUUAGAGACAGGAGGCAAGGAUUAGGAGAAGAAGCGGAGUAGUAUUAUUAAUCAUGUGACCAACUGUUUGGAAUCUUAACAGAAGGAAGUCUAAACACACUGCUUCUACUAUGCAGCGCAAAAAGGAUAAAUUAUAUUAUAAAUGUCAGCGCCUGGUCGUGUACUGAGGGAAAAGAAAUGCAUUUCUUAACGAAAAGCUUGCGGCUUCAGACACUUGCAGGUGUUUGCUAAUGACAACAUUUGG
Anguilla anguilla (European eel) is the source of this 537-nucleotide long non-coding RNA. RefSeq lists it as uncharacterized. The record is from RefSeq and is a predicted model, not a curated record. Lineage: Eukaryota; Metazoa; Chordata; Actinopteri; Anguilliformes; Anguillidae. The transcript is spliced from 3 exons.